GUCUAAUCUCUAAUUGACAUAAUAUUCGAUUGUCAUAGAAAAAAAAAAUUCUUUUUACCUCAAAAAUCUAUUUAAUGUUCCUUAACACUCGUUCUAAAAUGACAAGUUUAAUUAUUACAGCUGCUGUAAGAAGAGGCUACAAAUUGAUCCGCCACCACAUGCGAUAUAGCCUACUAGCCGGGACUCCUUUAUGUAUACAGACGUGACAUAAUGACGCAAAGACGAACGGCGGCAAACUAGCAUUUCCCGCGAAAACCGACCCAAACCCGAAUCAGAAAACAUUUUUACAAGCUUACCUUUGUGAAUCGGGGGCUAAGGUGAGGAGAUAGUUUUGAACACUGAUUGGCUAUGUACUUGCUCAUUAACUGAUUUUGGAUCAUUUUUAACCAAAAAAAAAGAGUUACUGAAUGCAGCUUUAAAGUGCCUCUUAAUAUUGUAAAGUGUCAACAUGUAAGGUCUGGGGAAAGACAAUCAGCAUGACACCGUGAGUUCAUCCAGUUCAGCCCUUCAACUUAUGUGACCUCUUUGUGGAGACAAAUAUUCAUGCAGUAACACUUCACAGCACUGCUGUGUUUCCAGUCAGUCUCUUGAGGUCUGAAAGUACGAUAUCUUUUUCUCUCCUGUAUGUGCAUCAUCUGAUCACUCUGAGGUCCAUCUUCAUCGUGUUGACAGACAGUGAGUCGGACCAGAACAGAAAACCUACAGAGACUCAACGACACGGAGACAGACCUCCAGAGACACUCAGCACUGAGACCAGGAGAAGCUCAGGAAGAUGAAAACCAGGACAGACAGGAGAGGAGGAGACGCUGCUGUCGUACCGGGAGGCCACAGCUGGAGACAGAGAAAGAGGAUGAGGAUGAUGAAACAGUGUAGUUAACCAAUGGACAGAAAGUAGAGACAUUCUCAGAACUGCAUCUAUCCUGCUACAUUCAUUCAGUGUAUUUUGUCUUCCUAAACUUAAAUCUGAACGUCACCUGCACUCACCCACACACGCUCGGCCGUCUCUGCUGGGCUUGUAGCCCUCAACACAUCUCUUCUUAGAGCUGCACUUAUAGUGUCCGUAUGUGUUGGUGCACACCGGACGAGUGUGAGGACACACGGCUGGCAGACGCCUGCACUCGUUUACGUCUCAACAGCAUGAAGGAAAUGGAGACAGAAUCACACUCACAGACUGGGCGCUCCCUCACGAUUGCUUUAUUAGUAUUGCACACCAUUCCAAUUUUGAGUAAACAAGUUCUAAAAAAAA
Sinocyclocheilus rhinocerous is the source of this 1246-nucleotide long non-coding RNA. RefSeq lists it as uncharacterized. The transcript has 2 exons. The record is from RefSeq and is a predicted model, not a curated record. NCBI's taxonomy places the organism in Eukaryota, Metazoa, Chordata, Actinopteri, Cypriniformes, Cyprinidae.